UUGUAUUGUAUAAGCUUAUCCA
RNAcentral lists this microRNA (22 nucleotides) under Lotus japonicus. RNAcentral describes it as "lja-miR11135c-3p". The record is from miRBase by way of RNAcentral. Lineage: Eukaryota; Viridiplantae; Streptophyta; Magnoliopsida; Fabales; Fabaceae.